UUUUAAAACUAAAACGCACUAGUGUAAACGGGGCCAAAGUAACCGGCUGAAGCUAAGCAGGGCUGCGCCCGUUAAGUAACUGAAUGGGAGACCACAUGGGAAAUGAGUGGUGUUAGUGA
RNAcentral lists this ribosomal RNA (119 nucleotides) under Danio rerio (zebrafish). The record is from RNAcentral. Lineage: Eukaryota; Metazoa; Chordata; Actinopteri; Cypriniformes; Danionidae.